Leptosomus discolor (cuckoo roller) is the source of this 750-nucleotide non-coding RNA. The record is from the annotation of a RefSeq genome assembly. Lineage: Eukaryota; Metazoa; Chordata; Aves; Leptosomiformes; Leptosomidae.
CUUAUGAUACAUCAUUUUGUCACUGUGACCACAUAUAACGUGAUUUUCGGCGAUGGCACAAAACUUACAGUAAUCGGGGACCAUAAAUUAAUGUACUUUGUUAUUUCGUCUUUUGCUGGUACCACAUGAGGUUAGUCCACAGGUUUGGCUCAGAGAACUGAGAAUAAAGGAAACGUUUUCCUGCAGCUGCAAAACAGUGUGAAUAAUGAAAGACUGUACUUUGGCAGUGGGACAAAACUCACAGUCCUAGGAAAGAACGAUGAAAUCAUACCUCCAGCUGUGGCCAUCUUUUCACCAUCAAAGCAAGAGAUCCAACAGAAAAGCAAGGCCACACUGGUAUGCCUGGCCUCUGGUUUCUACCCUGACCACCUGAAUCUGUUCUGGAAGAUGAAUGGUGCUAAAAGGACAGAAGGGGUGGGGACAGAUGAGUUUUCCACACAGAAUGGGACUACCUACUCAUUGACCAGCCGACUGAGGAUCUCAACACAGGAAUGGUUCAACCCUUUGAAUCGUUUUGAGUGUGUUGCCAAUUUUUUGAAGAAUGGAACAGUGGAAUCAAUACACAAAUUAAUCUAUGGUGAUGCUGGUUGUGCGCUCACAGAAGAAAACUGACAGAGAAGUCCUAAAGCUGGGAAGUUUGUAUAUAUCAUGCUUAUUUUCAAGAGUGUUUUGUAUGGGAUGUUUGUGAUGGAGCUGAUGCUUAGGUCCAAGGAAAGGAACAGAGUUCUAUUCUGUACAUGUUUGUCCUGA